UCUCCUUCUUCUCCAUUUUUCUCUCUAAAACCGUACCCACCCACACUACCACCUUCAACUCCAUUUUUCUUCACUUUUGAACCAAACUAAAGAUGUGACGGAAAGUCAACUAUUGACGGAUCAAAUUGAAGGAGCACCGGUUGGAAUAGACCGAGUGGCUAAUAGUGGAUCAUCGUGGCGUAUUUAAUUAUUUAUGGAGCGACAGUCUGAAUAUUGCCUGUGUUUGGACGAGAUUUCAUCUUUUUGAUUCUUGAAGUCUUCGUUUUGCGUAUAUGGUAAUUGGUCUUAUUUUGAUCUGUAGAGCUGCAGUAGAAUAGAUAGACAGACGCCUUAGCAUGUCAGUAUUUGCGAUGUUUGCCACGUAUGAACUCUGUUUUGUUUUCAUCGCACGAUUAUAAUAUAUUUUAACGACAUGCAUUAAGGUAUUGGAAAUAGUUGCAACCCGGGUACACGGUAGUACCGGGAGUUUUGAGAUACAGUGUAAAGAAAACUGUACGCAACUAUGUUAUGUGUAUAAUGUGGGGCCCAGCGUGGCUAUAUGCAUGAUUGCAUGUUAUCGGUUUUGUAAAAGACGGUAUUCGAGGAAUACGCGUUAAAACGAUAACCAGUAAUUGAAAAGUAACGGUUUUAAUUUAA
Molecule: long non-coding RNA, 636 nt
Organism: Mercurialis annua (annual mercury)
Lineage: Eukaryota; Viridiplantae; Streptophyta; Magnoliopsida; Malpighiales; Euphorbiaceae
Exons: 3
Source: RefSeq, a predicted model, not a curated record